Mytilinidion resinicola is the source of this 85-nucleotide non-coding RNA. Lineage: Eukaryota; Fungi; Ascomycota; Dothideomycetes; Mytilinidiales; Mytilinidiaceae. The record is from the annotation of a RefSeq genome assembly.
GUCGGUGUGGUUUAGUUGGCUAUAAUGGUUCUACUGGAGUAAUGGCUCCGUAAAAAGGACCCGAGUUCGAUCCUCGGCGCCGACC